CGGCGAGCGAACGGGGAGCAGCCCAGAGCCUGAAUCAGUGUGUGUGUUAGUGGAAGCGUCUGGAAAGGCGCGCGAUACAGGGUGACAGCCCCGUACACAAAAAUGCACAUGCUGUGAGCUCGAUGAGUAGGGCGGGACACGUGGUAUCCUGUCUGAAUAUGGGGGGACCAUCCUCCAAGGCUAAAUACUCCUGACUGACCGAUAGUGAACCAGUACCGUGAGGGAAAGGCGAAAAGAACCCCGGCGAGGGGAGUGAAAAAGAACCUGAAACCGUGUACGUACAAGCAGUGGGAGCACGCUUAGGCGUGUGACUGCGUACCUUUUGUAUAAUGGGUCAGCGACUUAUAUUCUGUAGCAAGGUUAACCGAAUAGGGGAGCCGAAGGGAAACCGAGUCUUAACUGGGCGUUAAGUUGCAGGGUAUAGACCCGAAACCCGGUGAUCUAGCCAUGGGCAGGUUGAAGGUUGGGUAACACUAACUGGAGGACCGAACCGACUAAUGUUGAAAAAUUAGCGGAUGACUUGUGGCUGGGGGUGAAAGGCCAAUCAAACCGGGAGAUAGCUGGUUCUCCCCGAAAGCUAUUUAGGUAGCGCCUCGUGAAUUCAUCUCCGGGGGUAGAGCACUGUUUCGGCAAGGGGGUCAUCCCGA
Molecule: ribosomal RNA, 647 nt
Filed under: Escherichia coli
Lineage: Bacteria; Pseudomonadati; Pseudomonadota; Gammaproteobacteria; Enterobacterales; Enterobacteriaceae
Description: partial 23S ribosomal RNA
Rfam family: Bacterial large subunit ribosomal RNA
Source: RNAcentral